UUCAUGUAUCUGUAAUGCCUUGCAGUGUAUUAUCAUAAAUGAAGUAUAAAUAGAGUGUACAAGAUUAGGUUUGUUAGCUAGAGCUUAGCUGAUAUACAUUAUAGUUACACAAGAUAAUCCCUAUGAGAAAUACCUGCACUUAACACCUGAAGAUAGAUUAGCUUAGUCUAAUAAUAGAGAUCUAUACAAUUGAAGCUCUUUAGAUUUUAACAUGCUUUAGCAAUAUAAUUGACAGGUCCUUUGGAUUAUGUGCAUCUUUUCAAAACCUUGCUCUCAUAUGUAGAGAUUUCAGAAUAGGGAAAUUUACGUUUAUUAUGGAAACAAUAUCCCAUUAUUCAUUUUGAAGAUUUUGGGUAA
Molecule: unclassified non-coding RNA, 357 nt
Filed under: Hevea brasiliensis (rubber tree)
Lineage: Eukaryota; Viridiplantae; Streptophyta; Magnoliopsida; Malpighiales; Euphorbiaceae
Source: RNAcentral